RNAcentral lists this ribosomal RNA (490 nucleotides) under uncultured bacterium. RNAcentral's name for it is "partial 16S ribosomal RNA". It matches the Rfam family "Bacterial small subunit ribosomal RNA", at positions 29 to 523 of the family's 1533-position model. The record is from RNAcentral.
AUUGAACGCUGGCGGCAUGCUUUACACAUGCAAGUCGAACGGUAGAGGGGGCAACCCCUUGAGAGUGGCGAACGGGUGAGUAAUGCAUCGGAACGUGCCCAGUCGUGGGGGAUAACCCGGGGAAACUCGGGCUACUACCGCAUACGACCAACGGGUGAACGGGGGCUUCGGCCCUCGUGGCGAGGUGAGCUCCUGUCCGAUUUGCUGGUUGGCGGGGUAAAGGCCCACCAAGGCGACGAUCGGUAGCUGGUCUGAGAGGAUGAUCAGCCACACUGGGGCUGAGAAACGGCGCAGACUCCUACGGGAGGCAGCAGUGGGGAAUAUUGGACAAUGGGCGAAAGCCUGAUCCAGCCAUGCCGCGUGUGUGAAGAAGGUCUUCGGAUUGUAAAGCACUUUAAGUUGGGAGGAAGGGCUGUAGGCUAAUAUCCUGCAGUUUUGACGUUACCGACAGAAUAAGCACCGGCUAACUUCGUGCCAGCAGCCGCCGCGG